GGGGGAUAUUGCGCAAUGGGGGCAACCCUGACGCAGCAACGCCGCGUGAAGGAUGAAGGUUUUCGGAUUGUAAACUUCUUUUAUUAAGGACGAAAAAUGACGGUACUUAAUGAAUAAGCUCCGGCUAACUACGUGCCAGCAGCCGCGGUAAUACGUAGGGAGCAAGCGUUGUCCGGAUUUACUGGGUGUAAAGGGUGCGUAGGCGGCUUUGCAAGUCAGAUGUGAAAUCUAUGGGCUCAACCCAUAAACUGCAUUUGAAACUGUAGAGCUUGAGUGAAGUAGAGGCAGGCGGAAUUCCCCGUGUAGCGGUGAAAUGCGUAGAGAUGGGGAGGAACACCAGUGGCGAAGGCGGCCUGCUGGGCUUUAACUGACGCUGAGGCACGAAAGCGUGGGUAGCAAACAGGAUUAGAUACCCUGGUAGUCCACGCUGUAAACGAUGAUUACUAGGUGUGGGGGGUCUGACCCCUUCCGUGCCGGAGUUAACACAAUAAGUAAUCCACCUGGGGAGUACGGCCGCAAGGUUGAAACUCAAAGGAAUUGACGGGGGCCCGCACAAGCAGUGGAGUAUGUGGUUUAAUUCGAAGCAACGCGAAGAACCUUACCAGGUCUUGACAUCCAACUAACGAAGUAGAGAUACAUUAGGUGCCCUUCGGGGAAAGUUGAGACAGGUGGUGCAUGGUUGUCGUCAGCUCGUGUCGUGAGAUGUUGGGUUAAGUCCCGCAACGAGCGCAACCCUUGCUAUUAGUUGCUACGCAAGAGCACUCUAAUAGGACUGCCGUUGACAAAACGGAGGAAGGUGGGGACGACGUCAAAUCAUCAUGCCCCUUAUGACUUGGGCUACACACGUGCUACAAUGGCGUAAACAAAGGGAAGCAAAGCUGUGAAGCCGAGCAAAUCUCAAAAAUAACGUCUCAGUUCGGACUGUAGUCUGCAACCCGACUACACGAAGCUGGAAUCGCUAGUAAUCGCAGAUCAGAAUGCUGCGGUGAAUACGUUCCCG
This 1000-nucleotide ribosomal RNA is filed under the name uncultured organism. RNAcentral describes it as "bacterial SSU rRNA". It matches the Rfam family "Bacterial small subunit ribosomal RNA", at positions 356 to 1376 of the family's 1533-position model. The record is from RNAcentral.